UCUCUCCCAAUCUUUCCCUCUCUCGCACCCUGUCGCUUCCGCCGUCGGCCGCCGGCCAGUACGCCGUCCCUCCCCGCACUCACGCACGCGCGGCCAGUCCACCGAGGGGAGACUCCAUAUUGACAACGCGAAACCCUAGACGCCACGGAGAUGGAGCAUCUCCGCCGCCUCGCCCAGUUCUUGCUCGCCUCAGCUCGCGCGGAUGGAGCAGGACGCGCCGCCCGUCCCCUCGCACCAGGCCCAGGACGACGGCGCCGUGGACGGCUGGGCGCGUGACGGCACGGAGCCCCCCCUCCCUUAUGGCGCCCCGGCAGAGUGCCCCGAGGCCGCAGAUCCUCCUCCCCUCCUCGGCUACGUCUCCUCGGUCGCUCGUGCGCGACCCUCAACUUCUGCAGCGGUGGGAGGAGCCCUACGACGACAUGCUCCGGCGACCCUGCAUCCGCAAGAAAGCCACAUGGAUUGGGGAUAUGUACCUCGGUUUGGGUUUAAAGGGGCAAUCUUUGAGCAUUUGUAUAUCAACUAUCGAGGAUCUCAAGUUGACAUGGACCGCACUAUGAUCAAGUGCAUUCUGGUGCUAUGAUGAUUGUGACAGAAGAUUUUAGCUGCAGAAGCAAUCGCCAUGUCUCAGUUCCAAUAUUAAAAAUCAGUGCACCUGAAUUACGACACAAUUUUUGUCAUCUGGAACUGCGCUUAUAAGGUGUUUGGUCUUACGCUCCUGAAUACAAUGUGAUAUAAAAGGUUCAUGAAAUCAUCAGCUUAACAUUCGACACUUCCUUCAAAGGGGUCCUUCAGCCUCCAAGGAGAAGGGAAGUGAUGUCUGACAGGGAAAGAAACUAGGCGAAGCUCUGGAUGCUCGAUCGGACAUUUGAUGUGUGGUAGUACGUGUGUGAUGAAGCAUGGUGUAGUAGCAAACUAGCAACUGUUUCUGACAUACCAUGGAUUUCUUUCUGCCUCUAUUUGAUGCUCGGUGGUGCUGAUCCGAAGGUCCGUGCGGACCCUGCUCUGGACAUAUGUCUCCUUAAUUUCCGUGUGCAAUUGUGCAAUCCAUGCUUUACACUUUAAAAUGAGAAUAAAAUUUAGCUCAUGUUGCCCUUCCAUCAUGCACCCAGAAUAUAUUACCUUUCUGCUUUUUAUAUUUUGGUUGGGCAUGUUUCAUGAUCAGAGGAUCGAUGAUUUGUGAUGAUUUGUUAUGCUAGACAAUGGAAAUAAGAUUUGGUGGAAAACAAAUGAUAUGAUAGGUGAUUUAUGAUGUACUACUAUUUUAGAUAACAAUACUAAGCUUUUAUUUGGUUGUUCUGCAUUUUUCCCUUUGCGAAGAUAGAUAUUAUAAGAGAUAAACAUCAUGUACAGGUUAACUUUUUGUGUGCCUAUUAGUAUGCCUUGCUGCCAAGUGGAAAUAGUCUAUAUGAUGCUCAAAAAUAGAGCUUCCUGGUGGGAAGGAUGAGGCACACUCAUUGAUACUUUGGUUUUAUAUCCAUUUGUUAUGCAGUUUUUCUCUUCCAAGCAUAUAAACUUUAGCAAAUUAGAGUGUGCAAUCAAGUCUCCUAAGUGAACAUUUUUACCAUAUUAUCAAGUUUGAGGGCAUAUACGAUACGAGCAUAUAAGAUAAGAGCAUGUCAUGCUACCUGAAAAUCUGCCUGGAGAUCUAAUUCCGUAUUUUUUCUAUUUUGUCGUUUAGAAAACCAGUUUCCUGAGUUGUUAGUCUGAGUAUUCAAAUUGAUCCGCAGAGUUCAGGGCUUCUGGAUGGAAGAGUUUCCUACAACGUCAAAAUCUUAGUACUCUCUACAUAGACUUCAUAAUUAUGCCUGACUUUUUCUGAGGAAUUGUUGAAGUAUGCCUUUUCUUUGGGUUGUUUGUGCAUUUGCAGUGUUGGAGGUGUUAGUGCAAGAUUGUAGAGUUGGAAAGUAUAGUAAAACGUCAGUUGGUGCAGGGACUUGGUGAAGCCAUCAGCCUCAACUGUGUCUGCUUCCCCGAUGGUUUUGACUUCUGACUAGUGAUUCUGAUGCAUAUUACUUGAUGAUUUGGUCUUUGUGGCAACUUUCAGUUUGAACUGGCAUUCAGUGGCUUCAUCCUCUUUGGUGCAGCCUGGAGUUAGUAGUGUGCACAUCUGAAUCUCUUGACUUUUUCCUGAAGCAUAUUACGUGGUUUAUGGUGUCUGCUAACUUGCAUGCGAUUUUGAUGGAAUCUGAUCUUGUUUUUUGCUCCCAGUAUAUACAAAAGGCUAGAAGUAAAUGAUGGAAGAUCCUUUAGUCUCAACGAGGGUUCUACUUUUGUACUCAAAGUUUGUAUGGUAGAUAAUCAAAUUUUGUUCUUUAGCUUGCAAAAUUAUCAGCUUAUAGAGAAGUAAAUGUUGCAUUGAGCUCUUAUUAUCUCCACUAGCAGGCAGAAGAGUUUAAGCCUGUCAUUUAGCAAAUGUGUAGCUUAAUUUAUUGUUGCUUGUAUCUGCUACUAAUAGUUUAUUGUGUUUUGGUAAGUGAAAAUAAUAUAGUGAGCAGUAUGGAUCACUUAGUUAAUUACAUGACUUGGAGGCAUUCAGGAUGCAUGAAAAAGUUCAGCAGGGUGAGCACUGGUCUAAGAGAGUACACUAUCUAGCUAAAUUAUUUACAGAUGAAGAUAAAGUUGGUGGAGUUGCUUGUGGCCUGUCAGCACUCCGGAUGAUUUGCUAUUGGCCUUCAUGCUUGGAGUCGAGAGAAUAAUUCUUUUAAGCUCUGGUUGUUAUAUAUUCUUGGCAGACCUGAGUGUUUGGGUUUAUAUUGGAUUUUCGUGCAGAAAAGAUCCGCUGGCUUUGUAUGCUCUCAUGUACAGUGUGCUCAGAGGAUGGCAGAGUUGCAAUGAUAUCUUUGUUCGAUGUAUCAUCUGCCAUUGGUACAUAGGAUGAAGAAGGUGGGAUGGCCAGGCAGCGUGUUGAUCAUCAGGAGUAGCGGUAACUGGUCUUAAUUCUCUAAGUAUUCUGUUGCUCAUACAUGGAAAUGUAAAUUGCUUGGGAUGUACCUUGGCCAUGGCUGUGCAUCUGGACAGUUAGAACAACCAUAUGAUCCAUUUCCAUCUGUUCUCGUUUUCUCCCAGCAAACUUUACAACUCAUAUACCACCAGUUAUUUCAGUGACUUUGAUUCUCAGCUUAUAGUAUUUCUUCUACACAUGUAUUGAAAAUAUGUAUUCCGGCCGAAAGUAUAUGUAGUUGUAGAAAUGACGGUGGAUUAUUUUUAAAUACCAGUGUCAGUGGGAUCAACCAAAGCAUUGAUAGUGAUUUCUGUUGUUUCUUGGCGACCUUGCCCUGUA
This is a non-coding RNA of Aegilops tauschii subsp. strangulata, 3280 nucleotides long. The record is from RefSeq and is a predicted model, not a curated record. Lineage: Eukaryota; Viridiplantae; Streptophyta; Magnoliopsida; Poales; Poaceae.